AACCGGAUUAGAUACCCUGGUAGUCCAUGCCGUAAACGUUGGGAACUAGAUGUAGGGGCCAUUCCACGGUUUCUGUGUCGCAGCUAACGCAUUAAGUUCCCCGCCUGGGGAGUACGGCCGCAAGGCUAAAACUCAAAGGAAUUGACGGGGGCCCGCACAAGCGGCGGAGCAUGCGGAUUAAUUCGAUGCAACGCGAAGAACCUUACCAAGGCUUGACAUGAACGAGAACGGGCCAGAAAUGGUCAACUCUUUGGACACUCGUUUACAGGUGGUGCAUGGUUGUCGUCAGCUCGUGUCGUGAGAUGUUGGGUUAAGUCCCGCAACGAGCGCAACCCUCGUUCUAUGUUGCCAGCACGUGAUGGUGGGAACUCAUAGGAGACUGCCGGGGUCAACUCGGAGGAAGGUGGGGAUGACGUCAAAUCAUCAUGCCCCUUAUGUCUUGGGCUUCACGCAUGCUACAAUGGCCGGUACAAAGGGCUGCAAUACCGUGAGGUGGAGCGAAUCCCAAAAAGCCGGUCUCAGUUCGGAUUGAGGUCUGCAACUCGACCUCAUGAAGUCGGAGUCGCUAGUAAUCGCAGACCAGCAACGCUGCGGUGAAUACGUUCCCGGGCCUUGUACACACCGCCCGUCAAGUCAUGAAAGUCGGUAACACCCAACGCCAGUGGCCUAACCGUAAGGGGGGAGCUGUCUAAGGUGGGAUCGGUGAUUAGGACUAAGUCGUAACAAGGUAGCCGUA
RNAcentral lists this ribosomal RNA (736 nucleotides) under uncultured endophytic bacterium. RNAcentral describes it as "bacterial SSU rRNA". It matches the Rfam family "Bacterial small subunit ribosomal RNA", at positions 771 to 1504 of the family's 1533-position model. The record is from RNAcentral.